ACUACGGGUGGCUGCAGUGAGGAAUAUUGGUCAAUGGCCGCAGGGCUGAACCAGCCAAGUCGCGUGAGGGAUGACGGUCCUAUGGAUUGUAAACCUCUUUUGUCAGGGAGCAAAGGGCGCCACGUGUGGCGCUUUGCGAGUACCUGAAGAAAAAGCAUCGGCUAACUCCGUGCCAGCAGCCGCGGUACUACGGAGGAUGCGAGCGUUAUCCGGAUUUAUUGGGGUUAAAGGGUGCGCAGGCGGAAUGUCAAGUCAGCGGUAAAAUUUCGGGGCUCAACCCCGUCGUGCCGUUGAAACUGGCGUUCUUGAGUGAGCGAGAAGUAUGCGGAAUGCGUGGUGUAGCGGUGAAAUGCAUAGAUAUCACGCAGAACUCCGAUUGCGAAGGCAGCAUACCGGCGCUCAACUGACGCUCAUGCACGAAAGCGUGGGUAUCGAACAGGAUUAGAUACCCUGGUAGUC
Molecule: ribosomal RNA, 459 nt
Filed under: uncultured bacterium
Lineage: Bacteria
Description: partial 16S ribosomal RNA
Rfam family: Bacterial small subunit ribosomal RNA
Source: RNAcentral